GACGAACGCUGGCGGCAUGCCUAACACAUGCAAGUCGAACGGAAACGCCCUGCUUGUGUGGGGUGCUCGAGUGGCGAACGGGUGAGUUACACGUGAGUAACCUGCCCCUGACUUUGGGAUGACCUCAGGCAACUGGGGCUAAUACCAGCUAGGAGCUCCUGCUGCUGGGUGGGGGUUGGAAAGUUUCGGCGGUUGGGGGUGGACUAGCGGCUUAUCAGCUUGUUGGGUGGGUAGUGGCUUAGCAAGGCUUUGCCGGGUAGCCGGCCUGGGAGGGGGGCCGGCCACAUUGCGCCUGAGAUACGGCCCAGACUCGAACGGUAGGCAACGGAGGGGAGGAUAGCACAAUGGGCGGAGGCCUGGUGCGACAACGCCGCGUGGGGGAAGACGUCCUUGGGGUUGUGAACCGCAGUCGCCUGUGACGAAGCGUUAGUGACGGUAACGGGAGAAGAAGCACCGGCUAACUACGUG
RNAcentral lists this ribosomal RNA (468 nucleotides) under uncultured bacterium. Its description in RNAcentral is "partial 16S ribosomal RNA". It matches the Rfam family "Bacterial small subunit ribosomal RNA", at positions 28 to 507 of the family's 1533-position model. The record is from RNAcentral.